GUAUAGGCUGUGAUAGGGAAAAGUAUUAUAGAAUACAAUUUUAAGAGAGAAAAUGUCAUCGGCUGUAAGCAUUUUUAAAUAUGACUAUAAGAAAAACUACCCAGGAGCUAUGAUUCAGUAACUUAUUAAAAGUGAAAUAUCAUCGGUGAAAAUCGAUAAAACGUAAGAGAAGAAUUGAAUUUUUUAAUUCAAUUUGGGUGGAACCACGGAUAAUUAGCAUUCGUCCCAAGU
Molecule: non-coding RNA, 231 nt
Filed under: Clostridium paraputrificum
Lineage: Bacteria; Bacillati; Bacillota; Clostridia; Eubacteriales; Clostridiaceae
Description: T-box sequence
Rfam family: T-box leader
About the family: Uncharged tRNA acts as the effector for transcription antitermination of genes in the T-box leader family.
Source: RNAcentral